CAAGUCGAGGGGCAGCAGGUCUGUAGCAAUACAGAUGCUGGCGACCGGCAAACGGGUGCGGAACACGUACACAACCUUCCUUUAAGUGGGGAAUAGCCCGGGGAAACCCGGAUUAAUACCCCGUAACAUAAUGAAGUGGCAUCACUUUAUUAUUAUAGCUCCGGCGCUUUAAGAUGGGUGUGCGACUGAUUAGGCAGUUGGCGGGGUAACGGCCCACCAAACCUACGAUCAGUAACUGGUGUGAGAGCACGACCAGUCACACGGGCACUGAGACACGGGCCCGACUCCUACGGGAGGCAGCAGUAAGGAAUAUUGGUCAAUGGACGCAAGUCUGAACCAGCCAUGCCGCGUGGAGGAUGAAGGUCCUCUGGAUUGUAAACUUCUUUUAUCUGGGAAGAAACCCAUAAAUUCUUUUGUGGUUGACGGUACCAGAUGAAUAAGCACCGGCUAACUCCGUGCCAGCAGCCGCGGUAAUACGGAGGGUGCAAGCGUUAUCCGGAUUCACUGGGUUUAAAGGGUGCGUAGGUGGAUUGGUAAGUCAGUGGUGAAAUCUCCAGGCUUAACUUGGAAACUGCCAUUGAUACUAUCAAUCUUGAAUACCGUGGAGGUCAGCGGAAUAUGUCAUGUAGCGGUGAAAUGCUUAGAUAUGACAUAGAACACCAAUUGCGAAGGCAGCUGGCUACACGAAUAUUGACACUGAUGCACGAAAGCGUGGGGAUCAAACAGGAUUAGAUACCCUGGUAGUCCACGCCCUAAACGAUGGAUACUCGACAUACGCGAUAUACUGUGUGUGUCUGAGCGAAAGCAUUUAAGUAUCCCACCUGGGAAGUACGAUCGCAAGAUUGAAC
Molecule: ribosomal RNA, 848 nt
Filed under: uncultured Flavobacteriales bacterium
Lineage: Bacteria; Pseudomonadati; Bacteroidota; Flavobacteriia; Flavobacteriales
Description: bacterial SSU rRNA
Rfam family: Bacterial small subunit ribosomal RNA
Source: RNAcentral